This 1012-nucleotide unclassified non-coding RNA is filed under the name Drosophila yakuba. RNAcentral's name for it is "GE13633". The record is from RNAcentral. Lineage: Eukaryota; Metazoa; Arthropoda; Insecta; Diptera; Drosophilidae.
UAUGGGGAUAUCGGGCAUUCGGGGUCCGUGGCAUCCGCAGUGAGGACGCGUCGCCGGCGCCGUUCAGUGUCAAAGUCAGUUGUGCCUGAGCUUGUGCCAGAGACAGUCAGUUUCGCUGCGAGUCUGCCAUCCAGCUGGUUUCCGCUUCCGGUUCCGUGCGAGGUCUUUGGCUAGUGAAUUGUGGUUGUGCACCUUUUUCUAACGACUUUUGUAAACACCCAAGUUUUUUGAACAACAACAUCAAAUUUAACAACGGCACAACGUAUUUUUGUAAACGUUUAAUGCGAUAAAGGUUUCGGAUCGUGAAAGUCAAAGUGCAAAUUGGCCCAGAAACAACAAGUAUCGUUUAUAAACUAGUUUCCAGCUCGCAAAAGUGUUUGUGUGUGUGUGCUACUGUGUGUGUUGGUGUGCGAGUGUGUGUGUGCAAUUGAUUAAACAAAAUAGGGGUAACCUAGGCCAACUGCAAGCGUAGAGACUCCAUUGCCAAAUCCUCGAUCCAGUAAGAUGGGCUGCAACACCAGCCAGGAGCUGAAGACGAAGGAUGGCGCCGCCAUCGAUGCGGUCAGCAAUGGCGAACCGGAGCCCAGUGCUCCUCCCCUGGAGGGCGAGUCCUCCAAGUCAUCCGCCAGCAAUCAUACCAAUCACGCCAAAUCCAGUUCAAUUAUCUCCAAUGGCGAGGUGAAGGCGGCCAACGGGGGCGGCCCAGCUGGCGGGGGGAGUGGCAGGUCGGAAGCAACAAAUGGCAUUGACCGUCCCUGCGACAAGGCGGCAAUCACGGAGCUCAAUGACGACGAGGAAGAAGAACCGGAGGUGGAGAUACUGAUACCACAUCACCAUCAUCAUCACGGCAGCAAAAAAUUCCAUCGAAAUCCCUUGAAAAAUUUGGAUCUCGAUUUUAAAUUCGAUGUCAAUUCGUUUUAGCCAACAGCAAAUCCCUCGACUGGUAACUAUUGGCAUUUAAUAUUUUACCGAAAACAGCAAUACAUUCACAACACAAACAGCCAAAGCCGCC